This 253-nucleotide ribosomal RNA is filed under the name uncultured bacterium. RNAcentral's name for it is "partial 16S ribosomal RNA". It matches the Rfam family "Bacterial small subunit ribosomal RNA", at positions 524 to 776 of the family's 1533-position model. The record is from RNAcentral.
GACGGAGGAUGCAAGCGUUAUCCGGAAUUAUUGGGCGUAAAGCGUCCGCAGGUGGCUGUUCAAGUCUGCUGUCAAAGCGCAGAGCUUAACUCUGUACAGGCGGUGGAAACUGAAGAGCUAGAGUAUGGUAGGGGUAGAGGGAAUUCCCGGUGUAGCGGUGAAAUGCGUAGAGAUCGGGAAGAACAUCGGUGGCGAAGGCGCUCUACUGGACCACAACUGACACUCAGGGACGAAAGCUAGGGGAGCGAAUGGG